This 122-nucleotide ribosomal RNA is filed under the name Pteropus alecto (black flying fox). The record is from RNAcentral. Lineage: Eukaryota; Metazoa; Chordata; Mammalia; Chiroptera; Pteropodidae.
GUCUAUGGCCAUGCUACCCUGAACAACAAGCCCGAUCCCGUCUGAUCUUGGAAACUAAGCUGGUUCGGGCCUGGUUAGUACUUGGAUGGGAGACCACCUAGGAAGACCAGGUGCUGUAGGUG